AUUAUUACUAAUAUUAGGAGCUAAAUCAAGCAAAUUAGUGACAAUAGCUAUAUUUUGUGUUCUCAAAAGUAGCAAACUCUAUAUAAACUAAGACCUAUCUCGUCCGAUAUACAUCAUCGAUAGCAAUACAUAAAUGUGUUUCACUAAAAUAUUUAGAAAUUAAAAGCAUAUAUUAUAUCUUUCUGAUUAUUACACACAAAAUGAUAAUAAAGAAAUCAAGCAUCACACUAAUAUAUAAGCUACUUCAUUUGGAGCAA
Molecule: small RNA, 257 nt
Filed under: Rickettsia prowazekii
Lineage: Bacteria; Pseudomonadati; Pseudomonadota; Alphaproteobacteria; Rickettsiales; Rickettsiaceae
Description: partial sR49 non-coding RNA
Source: RNAcentral